GAAAUGCGAUAAGUAAUGUGAAUUGCAGAAUUCAGUGAAUCAUCGAAUCUUUGAACGCACAUUGCGCCCCUUGGUAUUCCGAGGGGCAUGCCUGUUCGAGCGUCAUUACACCACUCAAGCUAUGCUUGGUAUUGGGUGCCGUCCUUAGUUGGGCGCGCCUUAAAGACCUCGGCGAGGCCUCACCGGCUUUAGGCGUAGUAGAAUUUAUUCGAACGUCUGUCAAAGGAGAGGACUUCUGCCGACUGAAACCUUUUAUUUUUCUAGGUUGACCUCGGAUCAGGUAGGGAUACCCGCUGAACUUAA
RNAcentral lists this unclassified non-coding RNA (303 nucleotides) under uncultured Dothideales. RNAcentral's name for it is "sequence contains ITS1". The stretch from base 1 to 105 matches the Rfam family "5.8S ribosomal RNA", at positions 50 to 154 of the family's 154-position model. Lineage: Eukaryota; Fungi; Ascomycota; Dothideomycetes; Dothideales. The record is from RNAcentral.